CGGGUGAGUAACGCGUAUCCAACCUUCCGUACACUCAGGGAUAGCCUUUCGAAAGAAAGAUUAAUACCUGAUGGUAUGAUGAGAUUGCAUGAUAGCAUCAUUAAAGAUUUAUCGGUGUACGAUGGGGAUGCGUUCCAUUAGGUAGUAGGCGGGGUAACGGCCCACCUAGCCUACGAUGGAUAGGGGUUCUGAGAGGAAGGUCCCCCACAUUGGAACUGAGACACGGUCCAAACUCCUACGGGAGGCAGCAGUGAGGAAUAUUGGUCAAUGGACGAGAGUCUGAACCAGCCAAGUAGCGUGAAGGAUGAAGGUCUUACGGAUUGUAAACUUCUUUUAUAAGGGAAUAAAACCUCCCACGUGUGGGAGCUUGUAUGUACCUUAUGAAUAAGCAUCGGCUAACUCCGUGCCAGCAGCCGCGGUAAUACGGAGGAUGCGAGCGUUAUCCGGAUUUAUUGGGUUUAAAGGGAGCGCAGACGGGUCGUUAAGUCAGCUGUGAAAGUUUGGGGCUCAACCUUAAAAUUGCAGUUGAUACUGGCGUCCUUGAGUGCGGUUGAGGUGUGCGGAAUUCGUGGUGUAGCGGUGAAAUGCUUAGAUAUCACGAAGAACUCCGAUUGCGAAGGCAGCACACUAAGCCGUAACUGACGUUCAUGCUCGAAAGUGUGGGUA
Molecule: ribosomal RNA, 666 nt
Filed under: uncultured bacterium
Lineage: Bacteria
Description: bacterial SSU rRNA
Rfam family: Bacterial small subunit ribosomal RNA
Source: RNAcentral